UCUCAAUUGAUUUAGCAGAUGACUAGGUAUAUACAUCUAUAAUCAUUCUCUGACGGUGAAAUCUUCUAGUGUUGUUUUUCAGCGAUCCGUUCAAGUAUAUAUUAUAUUUUAAUGCGGUUACGAGGAAGGUGAAUUUCGAUCAACCUCAUCUUCCUCCACCACAAUCAACCACCGCAUCGCCACCGUGAUGUUUGCUAACAUGAAAACCCUAAGUCAAGCCUUUUCCGAGACCACCGCAGCGAUCGAGAAGACCGUACAGACCACCGUGCAUCGGUCCCAAGCCUCUCCACGACUCCGAUCUCGUGGACCAGAUUGGUUCGACCGGUCUUGCCUGGAAGCUUUAUUCAGCGAAAGCGAGGAAGAUCUUCGAUUUCUCAGCAGUAUCCGACGCUUUGCGGAGAUAUGAAGCAGUGGAAUGGCUAAGAAAAGUGGAGCAAUGUGUGUUGGAGGUGCUUCCAAAAGAGCCGUUGGAAGAGGAAUUAUGUUUAGCUCUUCGCAAUGGUCUCAUCCUCUGCAACGUCCUCAAAGAGAUCAAUCAUGGGGUUGUUCUCAAGUUGUGUGCAAGCAUCAGAAAUCGCCAGCAAAAUGCGCAACACCCUCUCAUUGUUUGAUGGAAUCGACUCCUAAAAAACGAGGGAGGCCAAAACUGUCCCUCACCAAAUAGAUGGCGGAAGAGCGCAGGGCUCUUAAGCGUAAGCGCAAUAACACUAGGAUCUAGGCCUGAAUUACGUGACGCUGGUCCUAUUUUGGCUGAUGGUGGGAGCUCCCGAGGGAAUUCAACAUGUACAACUUCCACACAGUUCUACCUACAAAAGGCUGAUCAACUCAUCGGUGUUCCUCUGGAAAAAUAUUCAGCUAACAUACUGAGGUUUCAUGACCAAGGAGGAUAGCGAAAAGCACUGGUCCCUUCCAUAUGAAAUAAGUCUAAGGUGAACACUGAUGCUGCGAUUUUACAAUCCUCCAACUGCUACAGUUUUGCUUUCGUUGCCAGAAAUCAUGCAGGAGAAUUGAUUGAAGCACGCUCAAGUUGUAAGCAAGGUAGUAUGAUUCCUGACUGACAAAAGCGAUAGAGAUUAGGGAGGCUCUGAGCUGGAUAAAAGAGCAUCAUAUGCGUGACGUGACUAUCGAAUCAGAUUGCCUGGUUGCAAUACAGGCUAUUAGAAGCUCAUGUCUUCUCAUGUCAUACUUUGGUAGGCUUAUAGCAGAAUGCAAAAGUCUGCUUUAAGAGUUAAAAAAGAGAGGACUUUAAGAGUUAAAAAAGAGAGGAGUUUUCUUAAAAUUUGUUAAACGGUCUCCGAACCACGUAGCUCACUAUUUAUUUAGCGAGGUAUAGUAAUUCUAUUGCUGAUCAUAGUUGGUGGAUGAGUAUCGCUCAUUCAGAGUUUCUUCAUGUAUAGAAGAACGGUUUGAGGAA
This is a long non-coding RNA of Daucus carota subsp. sativus, 1414 nucleotides long. RefSeq lists it as uncharacterized. NCBI's taxonomy places the organism in Eukaryota, Viridiplantae, Streptophyta, Magnoliopsida, Apiales, Apiaceae. The record is from RefSeq and is a predicted model, not a curated record. The transcript is spliced from 6 exons.